ACGGUCCAGAUCAUAACCAUUGUGACAUUGACAUAUAGGCUUUUGAUUAUUCUAAAGCUCGGUUGCUCCUUCGUGCAAAUUUGCAUUUAGAUUGUUUCUUCCAUCUCUCUACUCUCCCUCUGCUAAACAUGCUUUGUUCUCACACCCUGUUAUGUGUACUAUAAUAUUAAUGUUAAGAUUAAUAUGAAGUUUUUACUUAAACCCUGAAAAAAAAAA
This 216-nucleotide long non-coding RNA is filed under the name Prunus persica (peach). Its description in RNAcentral is "long non-coding RNA (PPER_LNC002672)". The record is from RNAcentral. Lineage: Eukaryota; Viridiplantae; Streptophyta; Magnoliopsida; Rosales; Rosaceae.